AGAGCGAACGCUGGCGGCAGGCUUAACACAUGCAAGUCGAGCGGGCGUAGCAAUACGUCAGCGGCAGACGGGUGAGUAACGCGUGGGAACAUACCUUUUGGUUCGGAACAACACAGGGAAACUUGUGCUAAUACCGGAUAAGCCCUUACGGGGAAAGAUUUAUCGCCGAAAGAUUGGCCCGCGUCUGAUUAGCUAGUUGGUGAGGUAAUGGCUCACCAAGGCGACGAUCAGUAGCUGGUCUGAGAGGAUGAUCAGCCACAUUGGGACUGAGACACGGCCCAAACUCCUACGGGAGGCAGCAGUGGGGAAUAUUGGACAAUGGGGGCAACCCUGAUCCAGCCAUGCCGCGUGAGUGAUGAAGGCCCUAGGGUUGUAAAGCUCUUUUGUGCGGGAAGAUAAUGACGGUACCCGCAGAAGAAGCCCCGGCUAACUUCGUGCCAGCAGCCGC
RNAcentral lists this ribosomal RNA (448 nucleotides) under uncultured bacterium. Its description in RNAcentral is "SSU rRNA". It matches the Rfam family "Bacterial small subunit ribosomal RNA", at positions 26 to 518 of the family's 1533-position model. The record is from RNAcentral.